ACAAGCCCAGGAGCAGACACAAGUGUGAGCUCUGAGCCCACAGUCCUGGUUUGUCCUUGAAGUAUGAGGCUGGUGGUUGGAGUAACUGUUUUUCUGACCUUGGGGACUGUGAUUAAUGCUAAGACCACCCAGCCCAGCUCCAUGGAUUGUGCUGAAGGAGAAGAUGUAAACCUGCCUUGUAACCACUCUACCAUUGGUGGAGAUGACUAUAUACAUUGGUAUCGGCAAAAUCCCAAUCAGAGUCCACAGUAUGUCAUUCGUGGCUUACGAGGCACAGUGAACAGCAGCCUGGCCUCUCUGACCAUAGCUUCAGACAGAAAGUCCAGCACCUUGGUCCUGCCCCAGGUCACCCUGAGAGGCACCGCUGUGUACUACUGCGUCCUGAGAGAGGCACAGUGGGACAGAUGGGGCUGCACCUGCGCAGUAUCUCUGGUGGGAAGAAGAGGGACACGGUGGGGGAGCAGUCACGAGAGCAAAUCUAGACUCUUCUGGAAGGAGACACAUUCUGCGGUGGAGGUUGCGGUGGAGGAUGGGGUGUCCUGUCAGCGUCACCUGAGCAGGAUUGGUUGGGUGAGCUGA
Dama dama (fallow deer) is the source of this 579-nucleotide non-coding RNA. The record is from the annotation of a RefSeq genome assembly. Lineage: Eukaryota; Metazoa; Chordata; Mammalia; Artiodactyla; Cervidae.